ACGCACGCUGGCGGCAUGCCUCACACCUGCAAGUCGAACGCGACCUUCGGGUCUAGUGGCGCACGGGUGCGUAACGCGUGGGAACCUGCCUUUAGGUUCGGAAUAACUCAGAGAAAUUUGAGCUAAUACCGGAUGAUGUCUUCGGACCAAAGAUUUAUCGCCUUUAGAUGGGCCCGCGUUGGAUUAGCUAGUUGGUGGGGUAAAGGCCUACCAAGGCGACGAUCCAUAGCUGGUCUGAGAGGAUGAUCAGCCACACUGGGACUGAGACACGGCCCAGACUCCUACGGGAGGCAGCAGUGGGGAAUAUUGGACAAUGGGCGAAAGCCUGAUCCAGCAAUGCCGCGUGAGUGAUGAAGGCCUUAGGGUUGUAAAGCUCUUUUACCCGAGAUGAUAAUGACAGUAGCGGGAGAAUAAGCUCCGGCUAACUCCGUG
This 432-nucleotide ribosomal RNA is filed under the name uncultured bacterium. RNAcentral describes it as "partial 16S ribosomal RNA". It matches the Rfam family "Bacterial small subunit ribosomal RNA", at positions 29 to 507 of the family's 1533-position model. The record is from RNAcentral.